GAUUAUGGCUCAGGACGAACGCUGGCGGCGUGCUUAACACAUGCAAGUCGAGCGGAGAAUAUAGCAAUAUAUCUUAGCGGCGGACGGGUGAGUAACGCGUGGGUAACCUGCCUUUUACAGGGGGAUAACACUGGGAAACUAGUGCUAAUACCGCAUAAAAUAGUGAAGUGGCAUCACUUUACUAUCAAAGGAGCAAUCCGGUAAAAGAUGGACCCGCGUCCGAUUAGCUAGUUGGAGGGGUAACGGCCCACCAAGGCGACGAUCGGUAGCCGAACUGAGAGGUUGAUCGGCCACAUUGGGACUGAGACACGGCCCAGACUCCUACGGGAGGCAGCAGUGGGGAAUAUUGCGCAAAGUGGGGGAAACCCUGACGCAGCAACGCCGCGUGAAGGAUGAAGGUUUUCGGAUUGUAAACUUCUUUGAUUGGGGACGAUAAUGACGGUACCCAAAAAACAAGCCACGGCUAACUACGUGCCAGCAGCCGC
RNAcentral lists this ribosomal RNA (485 nucleotides) under uncultured bacterium. RNAcentral describes it as "bacterial SSU rRNA". It matches the Rfam family "Bacterial small subunit ribosomal RNA", at positions 15 to 518 of the family's 1533-position model. The record is from RNAcentral.